CAAUAGCGUAUAUUAAAGUUGUUGCAGUUAAAAAGCUCGUAGUUGGAUUUCUGAAUUGAAUAUCCGGUCCGCUCGUCUCUGAUGAGUGCGUACUUAUGGAUAUUGGAUUCAUUUUUUGUGAGGACAUUUAUCUGUCAUUAAGUUGAUGGAUUUAUAGACUUGCAUCGUUUACUGUGAAAAAAUUAGAGUGUUUAAAGCAGGCGUUCGCCCAUUUGAAUACAUUAGCAUGGAAUAAUAAGAUAUGACUUUGGUGGUCUAUUUAGUUGGUUUGCACACCAGAGUAAUGAUUAAUAGGGACAGUUGGGGGUAUUCGUAUUCCUGUGGAAGAGGUGAAAUUCUUGGAUCACAGGAAGACUUAGGCGAAAGCAUUUACCAUGGAUGUUUUCAUUA
RNAcentral lists this ribosomal RNA (390 nucleotides) under uncultured eukaryote. Its description in RNAcentral is "partial 18S ribosomal RNA". It matches the Rfam family "Eukaryotic small subunit ribosomal RNA", at positions 592 to 975 of the family's 1831-position model. The record is from RNAcentral.